GACGAACGCUGGCGGCGUGCUUAACACAUGCAAGUCGAACGGAAAGGCCCUGCUUUUGUGGGGUGCUCGAGUGGCGAACGGGUGAGUAACACGUGAGUAACCUGCCCUUGACUUUGGGAUAACUUCAGGAAACUGGGGCUAAUACCGGAUAGGAGCUCCUGCUGCAUGGUGGGGGUUGGAAAGUUUCGGCGGUUGGGGAUGGACUCGCGGCUUAUCAGCUUGUUGGUGGGGUAGUGGCUUACCAAGGCUUUGACGGGUAGCCGGCCUGAGAGGGUGACCGGCCACAUUGGGACUGAGAUACGGCCCAGACUCCUACGGGAGGCAGCAGUGGGGAGUAUUGCACAGUGGGCGGAAGCCUGAGGCAGCAACGCCGCGUGCGGGAUGACGGCCUUCGGGUUGUAAACCGCUUUCGCCUGUGACGAAGCGUGAGUGACGGUAAUGGGUAAAGAAGCACCGGCUAACUACGUG
Molecule: ribosomal RNA, 468 nt
Filed under: uncultured bacterium
Lineage: Bacteria
Description: partial 16S ribosomal RNA
Rfam family: Bacterial small subunit ribosomal RNA
Source: RNAcentral